AUACGUAGGAUCCGAGCGUUAUCCGGAUUUAUUGGGUUUAAAGGGUGCGCAGGCGGCCAUUUAAGUCAGCGGUUAAAUCGUGGGGCUCAACCCCAUUCUGCCGUUGAUACUGGGUGGCUUGAUUGCGGUCGAGGUUGGCGGAAUUCGUUGUGUAGCGGUGAAAUGCAUAGAUAUGACGAAGAACACCGAUUGCGUAGGCAGCUGACCAGACCGCAAAUGACGCUCAUGCACGAAAGUGCGGGGAUCGAACAGGAUUAGAUACCCUGGUAGUCCGCACAGUAAACGAUGAAUACUUGUUUUCGGCGAUAUAAUGUCGGAGGCAAAGCGAAAGCGAUAAGUAUUCCACCUGGGGAGUACGCCGGCAACGGUGUAACUCAAAUGAAUUGACGGGG
This 392-nucleotide ribosomal RNA is filed under the name uncultured bacterium. RNAcentral's name for it is "partial 16S ribosomal RNA". It matches the Rfam family "Bacterial small subunit ribosomal RNA", at positions 523 to 918 of the family's 1533-position model. The record is from RNAcentral.